This 169-nucleotide ribosomal RNA is filed under the name uncultured bacterium. RNAcentral's name for it is "partial 16S ribosomal RNA". It matches the Rfam family "Bacterial small subunit ribosomal RNA", at positions 338 to 524 of the family's 1533-position model. The record is from RNAcentral.
CCUACGGGAGGCAGCAGUGGGGAAUAUUGCACAAUGGGCGAAAGCCUGAUGCAGCAACGCCGCGUGAGCGAUGAAGGCCUUCGGGUCGUAAAGCUCUGUCCUAUGGGAAGAUAAUGACGGUACCAUAGGAGGAAGCCCCGGCUAACUACGUGCCAGCAGCCGCGGUAAU